Molecule: ribosomal RNA, 1451 nt
Filed under: Escherichia coli
Lineage: Bacteria; Pseudomonadati; Pseudomonadota; Gammaproteobacteria; Enterobacterales; Enterobacteriaceae
Description: partial 23S ribosomal RNA
Rfam family: Bacterial large subunit ribosomal RNA
Source: RNAcentral
GUUAAUCGGGGCAGGGUGAGUCGACCCCUAAGGCGAGGCCGAAAGGCGUAGUCGAUGGGAAACAGGUUAAUAUUCCUGUACUUGGUGUUACUGCGAAGGGGGGACGGAGAAGGCUAUGUUGGCCGGGCGACGGUUGUCCCGGUUUAAGCGUGUAGGCUGGUUUUCCAGGCAAAUCCGGAAAAUCAAGGCUGAGGCGUGAUGACGAGGCACUACGGUGCUGAAGCAACAAAUGCCCUGCUUCCAGGAAAAGCCUCUAAGCAUCAGGUAACAUUAAAUCGUACCCCAAACCGACACAGGUGGUCAGGUAGAGAAUACCAAGGCGCUUGAGAGAACUCGGGUGAAGGAACUAGGCAAAAUGGUGCCGUAACUUCGGGAGAAGGCACGCUGAUAUGUAGGUGAAGUCCCUCGCGGAUGGAGCUGAAAUCAGUCGAAGAUACCAGCUGGCUGCAACUGUUUAUUAAAAACACAGCACUGUGCAAACACGAAAGUGGACGUAUACGGUGUGACGCCUGCCCGGUGCCGGAAGGUUAAUUGAUGGGGUUAGCGGUAACGCGAAGCUCUUGAUCGAAGCCCCGGUAAACGGCGGCCGUAACUAUAACGGUCCUAAGGUAGCGAAAUUCCUUGUCGGGUAAGUUCCGACCUGCACGAAUGGCGUAAUGAUGGCCAGGCUGUCUCCACCCGAGACUCAGUGAAAUUGAACUCGCUGUGAAGAUGCAGUGUACCCGCGGCAAGACGGAAAGACCCCGUGAACCUUUACUAUAGCUUGACACUGAACAUUGAGCCUUGAUGUGUAGGAUAGGUGGGAGGCUUUGAAGUGUGGACGCCAGUCUGCAUGGAGCCGACCUUGAAAUACCACCCUUUAAUGUUUGAUGUUCUAACGUUGACCCGUAAUCCGGGUUGCGGACAGUGUCUGGUGGGUAGUUUGACUGGGGCGGUCUCCUCCUAAAGAGUAACGGAGGAGCACGAAGGUUGGCUAAUCCUGGUCGGACAUCAGGAGGUUAGUGCAAUGGCAUAAGCCAGCUUGACUGCGAGCGUGACGGCGCGAGCAGGUGCGAAAGCAGGUCAUAGUGAUCCGGUGGUUCUGAAUGGAAGGGCCAUCGCUCAACGGAUAAAAGGUACUCCGGGGAUAACAGGCUGAUACCGCCCAAGAGUUCAUAUCGACGGCGGUGUUUGGCACCUCGAUGUCGGCUCAUCACAUCCUGGGGCUGAAGUAGGUCCCAAGGGUAUGGCUGUUCGCCAUUUAAAGUGGUACGCGAGCUGGGUUUAGAACGUCGUGAGACAGUUCGGUCCCUAUCUGCCGUGGGCGCUGGAGAACUGAGGGGGGCUGCUCCUAGUACGAGAGGACCGGAGUGGACGCAUCACUGGUGUUCGGGUUGUCAUGCCAAUGGCACUGCCCGGUAGCUAAAUGCGGAAGAGAUAAGUGCUGAAAGCAUCUAAGCACGAAACUUGCC